Molecule: ribosomal RNA, 1282 nt
Filed under: Tenebrionoidea sp. 13 KM-2017
Lineage: Eukaryota; Metazoa; Arthropoda; Insecta; Coleoptera
Description: 16S ribosomal RNA
Rfam family: Bacterial large subunit ribosomal RNA (bases 844-1213)
Source: RNAcentral
UUGUAAAUGGUUAUUAUUUUAUUUUGGUUUUGAAGGUUGUUUUGGUAAAAUAUUUUAUUUUUAGUAUUUUUAAUAGAAAAAUUUAGUUUAAUUAUAGUGAAUAAUACUGUGAGGGAAUUUUGAUUUUAGGUUUAAUAGAAUAAUUAAUUUUUAGUACCUUUUGUAUCAGGGUUUAUUUAUUUAGUUUUUGUAUAGAAUUUUCCCGAAUUUAUAAGAGUUAUUUUGUUAUUCUUUUUCUUGUAUAAUAAAGAUUAAUAAUGACAAGUUGGAAGUGAAAUGUUAUUCGUUUAUAAAUAUAUCUGGUUUCCUAAGAAAGAAAUUUAAUUUUUAUGUUCUGUAUAAUCUUUAUUAUUUUAAUUUAGAUUAUUAGUUAUGUUGAAUGUUGGUCGGGAUUAGCUGAUCAUUAAAGUUAAAAUUUAUAUGUUUGAUUAAUUUAAUAGGAUUAGAAUUUUUCAUUUUGAAGUUUGUUAUAAAUUUUUUAUUGAUUAUUAUUAUUUUUAUUUAAUUUAACUUGCUUAUUAGGGUAUUAUAUUUAAUUUAAUUUUUUAAGUAAUAUUGAUUGAAUUAGUAUAAAUUUUUGUUGAUUAUAUUAAUGCCUAAGUUAAUUAAAAGGAAUUCGGCAAAUAAGUUUUUCACCUGUUUAUUAAAAACAUGUCCCUGUUGAUAAGAAUUCAGGGUUUGGCCUGCCCAAUGAUAGGUUUAAUGGCCGCAGUAUUUUGACUGUGCAAAGGUAGCAUAAUCAUUAGUUUUUUAAUUGAAAGCUGGAAUGAAAGGUUUGAUGAGAAAAAGGCUGUCUCUUAUUUAUGAUUAGAAGUUUAUUUUUAAGUUAAAAAGCUUAAAUAUUGAAGAAAGACGAGAAGACCCUAUAGAUUUUUAUUUGUUGGAUUGGACUAUUAUUUUGAGGAUUUUUCAGUUGUGGUUUAAAAUCAAAUUUUGUUGGGGUGAUGGGAAAAUUAAAUAAACUUUUCUUUUUUGAUACAUUAAUGUAUGAAUUCUUGAUCCUCUAAUUGGGAUUAAAAGAUUAAAUUACCUUAGGGAUAACAGCGUAAUUUUUCUAGAGAGUUCAAAUUGAAAGAAAAGUUUGCGACCUCGAUGUUGGAUUAAAGUUAAUUUUGGGUGUAGAAGCUUUAUAUAUUAGGUCUGUUCGACCUUUAAAACUUUACAUGAUCUGAGUUUAGACCGGCGUGAGCCAGGUUGGUUUCUAUCUUCUUUAUAUUAGAUAGUUUAGUACGAAAGGACCAACUAUUAUAUUAAUAAUAAUUUUGUUGAAUAGUAAUAACUU